CAUCUAUUUGCUGUGGGCAGAUAAAAUGAAUGUGAGAAUCAACGCCACCAGCUGUAAUAAUCGACCCCUCAGCUGCGAUAAUCUCAGUACCUGGACCAAUAAUAAUAUCAACGCCAGACUGUACGUCUGGAUUACCGGCUUUACCUAUCGCGAUAAUACGCCCAUUUUUAACGCCAAUAUCCGCCUUAACGAUACCCCAAUGAUCGAGAAUAACGGCAUUCGUUAUCACUAAAUCUGGCGUAUAUUUCGAAGAAAGCUGACUCUGCCCCUGCCCAUCACGAAUG
RNAcentral lists this small RNA (284 nucleotides) under Moritella viscosa. Its description in RNAcentral is "5' ureB small RNA". It matches the Rfam family "5' ureB small RNA". The record is from RNAcentral. Lineage: Bacteria; Pseudomonadati; Pseudomonadota; Gammaproteobacteria; Alteromonadales; Moritellaceae.